UACGAAGGGUGCAAGCGUUACUCGGAAUUACUGGGCGUAAAGCGUGCGUAGGUGGUUUGUUAAGUCUGAUGUGAAAGCCCUGGGCUCAACCUGGGAAUUGCAUUGGAUACUGGCAGGCUAGAGUGCGGUAGAGGGUAGUGGAAUUCCCGGUGUAGCAGUGAAAUGCGUAGAUAUGCGGAGGAACACCGAUGGCGAAGGCAAUCCCCUGGACCUGUACUGACGCUCAUGCACGAAAGCGUGGGGAGCAAACGAGG
Molecule: ribosomal RNA, 254 nt
Filed under: uncultured bacterium
Lineage: Bacteria
Description: partial 16S ribosomal RNA
Rfam family: Bacterial small subunit ribosomal RNA
Source: RNAcentral